Long non-coding RNA from Mobula hypostoma (lesser devil ray), 206 nucleotides. RefSeq lists it as uncharacterized. The transcript has 3 exons. NCBI's taxonomy places the organism in Eukaryota, Metazoa, Chordata, Chondrichthyes, Myliobatiformes, Myliobatidae. The record is from RefSeq and is a predicted model, not a curated record.
UGCUUCUAUGUUACACUGCAGUAGUUAAACUGAUGAAAAACAGCAUCUGUAUGCAGCAUCCAAGUGAGUGUGAGGGACAAAGGUGUCCCAGAUCCUGUGUGGGUGUUUCUAGGGAAACUGGAUCCUACUGCUGAGAAAAUUCUAAAAGAUGUUGCUUUGUGAAUGACCUUCAAUAUACGUGCAGCACUCACAGAAACCCUCCUCCC